CCCCGAUCGACCAUGAAGAGGAUCAUGACGAUGGCGGUGACGUGCAGCAGGGUGACAUUACCCCCUGUCAGCAGGAAGGUGCCCGCCAGCAGCGAGGAGGCGUAGGGACAGGGCAGCCCCCGAGGACGGAGGAGAGCCCCGCCACCAAAUUGGCCACGGAGAGCCCGUUAGCAGCGUUUUUCCGGAUGAACUCCAGGGUCUGACCCUGGCCAGCUCGCUCUCUCAGGAACAGCUUCUUCGUGGACUGGAAAAUACCUGCAACCCGCCGAGGUAGCCGGUGAAGGGCGGAACCGAUGGCCACUUUCCAACUGGGGAGUUACUUAAACCCUCCCCGAGGUAGCAGGUCGGUGCUGGGGGGGGGACGACAAAGCCCCACAGCACACACCCCCCCUUCCAGCGCUGGAAAGGGGCUGGAGGAGAUUUUGGGGGGUGCUGCUGAUGGCAGGAGCCUUGCUGGCUGUUCCCCUCCUCAAACCAAAACCCCCAAAAGCCUUUUAGCAAGCGGUGGGAUAUUUUGGGGGAUGUUUUGGUUUGGGUUUUUUUGCAAGCCCUGCCUCUUAUCUACCCGCCGGAGAUGAAAAUAAAACCAAUAAAAGAAUCACAAAAAUAAGAAAAAAAGAAGAAAAAUAAAUCCAAACCCAAGCUUAGACUAAAA
Harpia harpyja (harpy eagle) is the source of this 655-nucleotide long non-coding RNA. RefSeq lists it as uncharacterized. The transcript has 2 exons. Lineage: Eukaryota; Metazoa; Chordata; Aves; Accipitriformes; Accipitridae. The record is from RefSeq and is a predicted model, not a curated record.